Molecule: long non-coding RNA, 276 nt
Organism: Pelobates fuscus (common spadefoot toad)
Lineage: Eukaryota; Metazoa; Chordata; Amphibia; Anura; Pelobatidae
Exons: 5
Source: RefSeq, a predicted model, not a curated record
AUCAUGGAGGCCACCAUGGUCAUCAUGGAGGCCACCAUGGUCAUCAUGGGGAACAAGGCCAGCAAGGACACCAUGGCUUAGGUAGUGGUGGACAGCAAUGCCAGGAUCAGAGUUCCACUGGAGGUCCAAAAUCAGGUGGUGCUGGUGGACAGCAGUGUCAAGAUCAAAGCUCAUAUGGUGGACGAGAAUCAGGAGGCAAAGGAGGACAGUGCCAAGAUCAAAGCUCCUGUGGUGGCCAGAAAUCAGGGGGUAACGAUGGGCAGUGUCAGGAUUCAG